AGCCGAGUAUCCUUUUAUGUUGGCUGCAAAAUGGAUCUUAAUCUGUCGAGUUUUUCUUCUGUUGGCAGGUAUCUUAUGUUAACGGCACAUGUCUUAUAUAUAUAUUUUUAGCGUUUGUCUCGUGAGGUCAGAUUUAAUUUGCUGAUUCAAUUGUUGUUUCGUUGGCCAGAGAUUAUGUUAUUUUUCUAGGUUUUGGUAUCGCUUUUUUGUCAUUUUUAUGUUUUAUGCUUUUGCGUCCGUUUACAAAAUCACCAAAGGACAGUGAGCGGGUGAGCGGCGCGAAGCGGAACGAACGAACCAGAACGAACGAACGAACCUGUACGAACGAACGAACUUAUACGAACGAACGAACUUAUACGAACGCCAACGAACGAACGUCAAAUCGGCGGUUCUUGCCGGUGGCUGCAGACCUGAAACAAUCCAAAACCGUUUUUAAAUACAAUGAGUAUUGGAUCCUGAACUCUGAAGCUCCACCGGUAAAAGUUUUGGAUUAGUUUGGUAUCGUCUUACUCCGGAAAUUAAGAAAUCAAGUUGAAUCCAAUGUUCGUCAGUACGAAAACUGCAAGAAGAAUCAACAAGGUGGAUUAAUUCGAUUCUGAUCUGUGUGAGAGGCACAGUAAGUUCUGCAAGACCUUCAAAUCUAUCAUCCCAAAAUCUAAGGUACAGUGACUUCAUAUUAUAUUCUUCGGCGUUCUUCAGCAACCUCACGGCUGUCUUCUGGAACCUGCUGGGUAGGGGUUCGGGCUUCUGUUGUUGGGUCAGCUUAGGCCUCUGUCUGUUGUUGAGCUGGUUUGAUUUUCUGUUGUUAACGAAUACGAUUACGAAUUGCGCAUUGCGACAUAGGGCGAGUAGUGCUACUAAGUACUAACUGAUCGGUAGUAAACGAACUUAUAUGUAUGUACACAAGAUCGAACAAGAUCACGUAUUGCUUGAUGUUGAGGUCUUGUAAUUUCGUUUAACUGAACUUUUAGUAGGUAAUUUGCGUGACAUGUAAUCACGUUCUCACUGUCCUUUUAUCCCUUUAGCCCAACCUUUUGUUAUUGUUUUUUUUGUUUUUACGUUUUGUUUUUCAUAAUUGCUUUAUUCUUAAUUCCUUUAUUCUCUUUGUCUUGUUAUUUUUAACAUAUUAUUAGCACUUAUCGGCUAGCCAUCUAUCGUUUACUAUUUCACCAUAUUUGGCUUAGCAUCCAUUUUGCAAGUCAGCAUACACUGCUACCCGGUGCUAUACACCCAACUUUUAAACAUGUCGGGAAAUUUCAACAAUAUAACUCGGGGGCAGUUGCGAAUACUGCUUGAUAAGAUGGGACAGGAUACACAAGGGACAAAAUCUGUUUUGAUUGAGAGACUUCAAACUUGCCUAAAGGAAGAUAAUUCUGCAUGCCGCUCAAAUAGCCCAGUCGUGCCUUUACAACCGGACGCUGAUGACGUGCCAAGGCUUAGCACAAGAUCACCAUUAAAACCUCCCGAUAUUUCUGGCCUCGAGGCAGCACGUAUUCAUUGGGAAGUAAGUUCACAAGCUUCGGCCUCGUCUUCGAUAGUCUCCGAAAGAGUACGCCGUGCAGGACUACAGGCUAGGGCAUCAUAUUUAGAGCAGAAACAUUUGCUAGAUCGCCAAGCGCAGGAACUUAAGGCUAGGCAGGAGAUGUUGGAGUUGAAAAUGCAAAUUGGGGAAGUCAGUGCGAGGGAAGCAGCGUUAGAAAGGGAGGAGGAAGGAAUUGCAAUGGGUUUUCAGGAAACUGAACGUGAUGACGCCGCGUUUCGGGAUAACGCGCCAAACAUGCAAUAUGUUUCUCAUUCUCCCUCAGCUCAUUCGCCCUCAGCAACUAGGGACCACUUAGAGGACGUUCAUGCCUCACAGUCAACCCAAUCGAACGUGCGUAGCGACAUAAAUCCUUCUUAUGACCUGGCUAGACGACUCCAUCUUCCUCCUUUGGAGAUUUCAACGUUUGAUGGAGAUUUAAGUAAAUAUAAAUGUUUCAUGCGGGCUUUUAAGUCAAAUAUUGCUACAAAGGUAGAUGAUGAAGAUGAAAAAUUGCAUUAUUUAUACCAAUACACUUCCGGACGACCAAGGGAGAUUGUCUCCACAUGCUUACACCUGCCACCAACGAGAGGGUUCGUGGAAGCGGUAAGUUUGCUGGAUAAACGUUACGGGUGUCCGUUUCAGGUGGCGUCGGGUCUGGUCGAUACCCUGAUACAAUGCCCCGCGGUGAGGCUCGAUGACGUCCAGGGAUUAGAAACGUUUGCUAUUCAGUUGAGGGGAACCAUGAAUGCCUUGUUAAGCCUCCCAUGCGGAACGGAUUCAGUCGACAUCAAAACCGUCCGUUUGCUCUUAGACAAACUGCCUUCGUUUUUUAAGGAUAAAUGGCGGAUCAAAGUCGAUGAUAUUGAACAAACAGAGCAGCGAAAAUCAGACUUUAGAGACUUUGUUUACUUCAUUGAAAGGGAGGCGCGCAUUGCAUCCAACCCGUCAUAUGGGAGACAUUUAACAAAUGUAACGAAAAAUUACCAAGAUAGAAAACAUGAAAGCAAAUAUCACGCGAGAGGGACACUUUUAGCCGGUAACGUCAGCUCUCAUCACUCCUCGUGUCUUUAUUGUCAGCAGGAUCAUGAAGUCGCCGAGUGUCCCGAGUUGAGAAUGCAGAGCAGAGAUGUCAAAAUGACGUUUAUACGGUCAAAUAAGCUUUGCUUUGGUUGUUUGUUACCGAAUCAUUUAAGCAAAUAUUGUGAAAAUAAAAAGAUUUGUACAGAAUGUGGGAGUCGGCACCCAACUAUCCUUCAUUUUGACCGAAAACAAACUCCACUCUCAACAGUCACUUUGGGCCAUAUUGCAUCAAGUGGAGGAGCAAAAUUGCAAGUCGUACCAGUGUGUGUUACGUUAUUCGGGGUGACGAAGUUCACGUCUGCCUUUUUGGACUCCGGCAGCACACAUUCGUUCAUUUCAAGAAAUUUACUCGCUAGUUUAGGGGUUGAACCAGCCGAAAGUACUUCAAUUACUCUUUCUACUAUCAACACAGAUCACAAAUUUGAAACAUGCGUUGUUUCGAAGGUUACCAUGGAGGAUUUACAACACAACAAUAAAUUAGAACUUCCUCCGUUAUUUGUUCUAAAUAAGAUCCCAGUGUCCAUCGAGGAUGCCCCGAACGUUAGAGAUUUAAACAAAUGGCCGUACUUGAGACAAAACGGGGUAUACUUAGAAGAAAACUUUAAGCACGACGUAGGCCUUCUACUUGGGAAUAAUGUGGCGGCGGUGAUGGAGCCGUUUGAGGUGGUUCCCAGUCAGAACGGCGGGCCAUUCGCCGUGAGAACCAGGUUCGGAUGGGUCCUAGGUGGGGUUGAUAAGGAUUCUCCGGUUCGUCUGAAAGUUAACCAAUUGCAAGUGGCUCCUGACGACGUUUAUGGUAAUAGGGCUGAAUAUCGGUUGGGUCUGUCCGCAGAAGACAUUAGGUGGCACGAAAUGGUAAAGGCAUCGUGCCAGCUGAUAGAUGGUCGGUACGAAAUAGCCCUGCCGUUUCGUGAUCCAAGUCUUAAACUUCCAAACAAUAAGUCUGUGGCUUAUAGGCGCCUUGUGCAACUGAAGCGCAGAUUCGAGAAUCAGCCCCAUUUCUUGAGAGAAUAUGCCAAGCAAAUUGAUAAACUGUUAGACAACGGCUACGCUGAAAGAGCUCCCGAUCUCUCGAGCAAUGCAGAAGGUAGGAUAUGGUUUGUGCCCCAUCACGGAGUCGAACACCCUGUUAAGAAAGGCAAAUUACGCGUUGUUUUUGACUGCGCUAGCUCCUUUCAAGGAAGAAGUCUAAAUGAGGAGCUUUUACAAGGACCUGACCUUACCAACACCCUGACAGAUGUUCUACUUCGUUUCCGACAAGAACCCGUUGCCUUCAUGGCGGACGUCGAGGGUAUGUUCUUACAGGUGAGGAUUCCCGAGAAACAACGUGAUUUUUUGCGUUUCCUAUGGUGGCCCAAUGGAAACAUCGCCUCGAAUCCUAAGGAAUAUAGGAUGACAGUUCAUCUUUUUGGCGCUGUUUCCUCUCCUAGCUGUGCAAAUUUUGCGCUUCGUCGCACCGCUCUAGACAAUGAACGGUUGUACGACCCAUUGGUGUCUAGGACAGUUCUUAAUAACUUUUAUGUGGAUGAUUGUCUUGCAUCGACUGGAAAAGAAGAUGUUGCUGUGAAGCUGGCAUCUGAUCUUAAGCAAUUGUGUCUGAGAGGUGGAUUUAAUCUCACCAAGUUUGUUAGCAAUAGCGUUACAGUUUUGAAAUCCAUUCCAGAAGUUGACUACUCGCCCGGUAUCCAAACACUAGAUUUGACAUCAGAUACUUUGCCUUCUGAGCGAGCCUUAGGCGUUGGCUGGAACGUUCGUUCUGAUCGCUUAGAAUAUCAAGUUGACUUGCAAAAAUUUCGGGGCAAGCCUGUCACAAGACGAGGGCUUCUGUCCGCCACAGCAGGUCUUUAUGAUCCACUGGGGCAUGUUGGUCCGUAUGUAAUGCGGGCCCGAAUGCUCUUACAAGAGCUGACUCGCCUUCGUUUAGGUUGGGACGAUGAGGUGCCAUCCCACUACCACAGACAGUGGAAGCAAUGGUUAGCAGAUCUAGAAUGUCUAUCCCAGUAUAGUCUUCCCAGGUGCAUAUGUUUCGGUGGCCUUUCCUCUGCCGUCCUCCUCGAGCUGCAUCACUUUUCGGAUGCCAGCGAAAGGGGGUACGGGGUGGCCUCGUACGUGCGAGCCGUCAAUGGAGACGGUCAACUGUCUUGCAAUCUUUUGGUCAGCAAAUCCCAUUUAGCACCAAUUAAGCCUCUCAGUAUCCCAAGGCUGGAGCUUUCUGCUGCAACACUAGCUGUCAAAGUCAAUUUAGAAAUACAAAGAGCGUUUCCAUUCGAUUUUAAGCCAGACAUCUUCUUCUGGACUGAUAGCACUACAGUGUUGAAAUAUAUACAAAAUGAGGCAGCGCGAUUUCAUGUGUUCGUGGCAAAUCGUUUGGCAGUUAUACGAGACGGCUCUUCAAUAGACCAAUGGCGAUGGGUUCCUUCGGAGUUAAACCCAGCCGACAUUUUGUCACGCGGGUGCGAUGGAACUACCCUUCUCAAAGAGUGUAUGUGGCGUCAAGGUCCAUCGUUUCUACUUGAAUCACGGGAGAAAUGGCCCCGAUUCCCUGUCUUAGAAGAUAAUGCAGAGGACCCUGAACUAAGAGUGACCACUGUUGCAUUAAACAGCCGAACAGAAAAUGAAACAAAGAUUCAAAAGAAUUCGAGCAUUCAAAAAUUGAUUGAUCAUUAUUCCUCGUGGCAGCGUUUGAAGAGAGCAGUUGCGUGGGUACGACGCGUUAUAGACACAUUGGCUGGUAAACAGAAAUCAGCACGAGCAUCAGAGCUGACUGUAACAGAGCUAAAGUCAGCCGAGAAUAUUAUCAUCAGGGAACUUCAGGGUCAGUACUAUGUGGAGGAGGUAGAGAAUCUGAAAGCAGGACGGGAAGUGCGGCGGUCCAGCAGCCUUGUGUCUUUGGACCCCACGUUGGAGGAUGGUCUUCUGAGAGUAGGAGGUCGUUUAGGGCACGCGAUGGGCGUGGCCUAUGAAAGUAAACAUCCUUUGAUUAUUCCAAAUAAAGGGCGAAUUCCGGAAUUAAUCAUACGGGAUAUUCACGAGAGGAUUGGCCAUGCAGGUCGUCAAUGUGUCCUGGCGGAAUUGCGUAAGAGCUUUUGGCUAAUCAAAGCCAAUACGGCGGUUAGGAGAUGCCUCCACCAAUGCCUCCGCUGCCGCAGGCUUUUUCGUACUACGGAGACGCAAAAAAUGGCUGAUUUGCCUGCAGAUCGAAUACAGCAAAGUGAGCAGCCAUGGGUGAGUACCGGGGUAGAUUAUUUUGGACCAUUCUAUACCAAGAGAGGGCGUGGACAGGUCAAACGUUACGGUGUCAUUUUUACAUGCUUGGCCAUUCGCGCCGUCCACCUGGAAGUAGUCGAAAGUUUGUCGUCCGACUCUUUUAUAUGCGCCCUCAAGCGCUUCGCGGCCAGGCGGGGCUCACAAAUAAGAAUCAUGCGUUCUGACAACGGGACAAAUUUUGUGGGAGCGGAUCGUGAGCUGAAAAAAGAGCUCGAGUUUCUUGUUCAGCAUGAGGCCCAAAUUCGGAGAGACUUGAUAAAUCGAGGUAUUGAAUGGCGUUGGAACCCUCCUGGUGCCUCUCACUUCGGAGGCGCAUGGGAGCGAUUGAUUAGGAGUGUUCGUAAGAUACUGAGCGGUUUACUCAGGGAGCAAACAUUUACUGACGAAACACUAACCACAUUCCUUUGUGAAGUGGAAAGCAUUAUGAAUAAUCGACCCUUGGUACCAGUGACAAGUGACCCUCGAGACGACCUGCCGCUAACGCCCAAUCACUUGCUGCAUUUACGUUCUGUUUUGCUACCAGCCUCAAUGGUGACAGAUAUAGAUGCGUUUAGCAAAAAGAACUGGAAACGAGCAUCGUUCCUUGCAGAGCAGUUUUGGCGACGUUGGCGUGCGGAAUAUCUCCCAUUACUUCAGCCAAGGGCCAAGUGGUCAAGGCUCCAGACAAAUUUGCAGGUAGGCGAUGUGGUGCUUAUUGUUGACAGUUCAGUUCCGCGGGGUGUGUGGCCUCUUGGCUUGAUAGAAGAGGUCAGAACAAGCACUGACUCGAGGGUACGAUCCGUCAAAAUCCGGUGUAAAGGUACCACGAUUUGGCGGCCUGUUCAAAAGCUAGUUAAAAUCACGGAAAGUUAAAAAUCUCUCAAUCUGAAUAAAUUUGAUCCCAUAGUAUCAAAUGGGCCGGGUGUUAAAGCCGAGUAUCCUUUUAUGUUGGCUGCAAAAUGGAUCUUAAUCUGUCGAGUUUUUCUUCUGUUGGCAGGUAUCUUAUGUUAACGGCACAUGUCUUAUAUAUAUAUUUUUAGCGUUUGUCUCGUGAGGUCAGAUUUAAUUUGCUGAUUCAAUUGUUGUUUCGUUGGCCAGAGAUUAUGUUAUUUUUCUAGGUUUUGGUAUCGCUUUUUUGUCAUUUUUAUGUUUUAUGCUUUUGCGUCCGUUUACAAAAUCACCAAAGGACAGUGAGCGGGUGAGCGGCGCGAAGCGGAACGAACGAACCAGAACGAACGAACGAACCUGUACGAACGAACGAACUUAUACGAACGAACGAACUUAUACGAACGCCAACGAACGAACGUCAAAUCGGCGGUUCUUGCCGGUGGCUGCAGACCUGAAACAAUCCAAAACCGUUUUUAAAUACAAUGAGUAUUGGAUCCUGA
Molecule: unclassified non-coding RNA, 7236 nt
Filed under: Amphibalanus amphitrite
Lineage: Eukaryota; Metazoa; Arthropoda; Thecostraca; Balanomorpha; Balanidae
Description: uncharacterized LOC122385957, transcript variant X1
Source: RNAcentral